This 394-nucleotide long non-coding RNA is filed under the name Ananas comosus (pineapple). RNAcentral's name for it is "long non-coding RNA (ACOM_LNC044046)". The record is from RNAcentral. Lineage: Eukaryota; Viridiplantae; Streptophyta; Magnoliopsida; Poales; Bromeliaceae.
AUGGUGUGUAUGUUACUGGUACAGUUACAGCUUCGCUUCGUAUAUAGGGGAAAUUUUUUUGUAUACGGCGGAUUUGUCGACGUGCCCGGGGGAAAGAGUAAUCCGGGGCAUGACAGAUUAAGUUGGUAUCAGAGCUUAGCAUUAGGUCGUUGGGACCUAGGAACUCUAAGUUUGGCAAACUUUAGGAAGGCAAGACGCGAGAGGCGUGAUUUAUUGCGAAAGUCAAUGAUUGAAUAGUUAUAACUCCUCCUAGAGUGGAGUGAGUGAUUGAAGGAGUGUCUGUUUCGGUCCAGAAAAAUUAUGUUGGCUGUAGACGACAUAAUUUUGAGGAGAAACAGGGGCUGCCUUUUAGACUUUUAUUUGAUUGGGUCGAAAGUGUUUGUAUUUUAUCUGA